This 497-nucleotide ribosomal RNA is filed under the name uncultured bacterium. RNAcentral describes it as "partial 16S ribosomal RNA". It matches the Rfam family "Bacterial small subunit ribosomal RNA", at positions 28 to 507 of the family's 1533-position model. The record is from RNAcentral.
GAUGAACGCUGGCGGCGUGCCUAAUACAUGCAAGUCGAGCGAACAGACGAGGAGCUUGCUCCUUCGACGUUAGCGGCGGACGGGUGAGUAACACGUAGGUAACCUACCUAUAAGACUGGGAUAACUUCGGGAAACCGGAGCUAAUACCGGAUAAUAUUUCGAACCGCAUGGUUCGAUAGUGAAAGAUGGCUUUGCUAUCACUUAUAGAUGGACCUGCGCCGUAUUAGCUAGUUGGUAAGGUAACGGCUUACCAAGGCAACGAUACGUAGCCGACCUGAGAGGGUGAUCGGCAACACUGGAACUGAGACACGGUCCAGACUCCUACGGGAGGCAGCAGUAGGGAAUCUUCCGCAAUGGGCGAAAGCCUGACGGAGCAACGCCGCGUGAGUGAUGAAGGUCUUCGGAUCGUAAAACUCUGUUAUUAGGGAAGAACAAACGUGUAAGUAACUGUGCACGUCUUGACGGUACCUAAUCAGAAAGCCACGGCUAACUACGUG